Molecule: ribosomal RNA, 484 nt
Filed under: uncultured bacterium
Lineage: Bacteria
Description: partial 16S ribosomal RNA
Rfam family: Bacterial small subunit ribosomal RNA
Source: RNAcentral
AUUGAACGCUGGCGGCAGGCCUAACACAUGCAAGUCGAGCGGAUGAAGGGAGCUUGCUCCUGGAUUCAGCGGCGGACGGGUGAGUAAUGCCUAGGAAUCUGCCUGGCAGUGGGGGAUAACGUCCGGAAACGGGCGCUAAUACCGCAUACGUCCUGCGGGAGCAAGUGGGGGAUCUUCGGACCUCACGCUAUCAGAUGAGCCUAGGUCGGAUUAGCUAGUUGGUGGGGUAAAGGCCUACCAAGGCGACGAUCCGUAACUGGUCUGAGAGGAUGAUCAGUCACACUGGAACUUGGACACGGUCCAGACUCCUACGGGAGGCAGCAGUGGGGAAUAUUGGACAAUGGGCGAAAGCCUGAUCCAGCCAUGCCGCGUGUGUGAAGAAGGUCUUCGGAUUGUAAAGCACUUUAAGUCGGGAGGAAGGGCAGUAAGUUAAUACCUUGCUGUUUUGACGUUACCAACAGAAUAAGCACCGGCUAACUUCGUG